RNAcentral lists this ribosomal RNA (530 nucleotides) under Prymnesium parvum. RNAcentral describes it as "SSU rRNA". It matches the Rfam family "Eukaryotic small subunit ribosomal RNA", at positions 17 to 549 of the family's 1831-position model. Lineage: Eukaryota; Haptophyta; Prymnesiales; Prymnesiaceae. The record is from RNAcentral.
CCAGUAGUCAUAUGCUUGUCUCAAAGAUUAAGCCAUGCAUGUCUAAGUAUAAGCGACUUGUACUGUGAAACUGCGAAUGGCUCAUUAAAUCAGUUAUGGUUUAUUUGAUGGUACCUUACUACUUGGAUAACCGUAGUAAUUCUAGAGCUAAUACAUGCAGGAAGUCCCGACUUCGGAAGGGAUGUAUUUAUUAAAUAAGAAACCAAUCCGGCUUGCCGGUUGCGUGCUGAGUCACAAUAACUGCUCAAAUCGCAUGGCCUUGCGCCGGCAAUGGUUCAUUCAAAUUUCUGCCCUAUCAGCUUUCGAUGGUGGGAUCGAGGCCUACCAUGGCGUUAACGGGUAACGGAGAAUUAGGGUUCGAUUCCGGAGAGGGAGCCUGAGAAAUGGCUACCACAUCCCAGGAAGGCAGCAGGCGCGUAAAUUGCCCGAAUCCUGACACAGGGAGGUAGUGACAAGAAAUAACAAUACAGGGCUAUUUUAGUCUUGUAAUUGGAAUGAGUACAAUUUACAUCUCUUCACGAGGAUCAUUG